UACAGAGGUCUCAAGCGUUGUUCGGAUUCAUUGGGCGUAAAGGGUGCGUAGGCGGCGUGGUAAGUCGGGCGUGAAAUCUCGGAGCUUAACUCCGAAACUGCAUUCGAUACUGCCGUGCUUGAGGACUGGAGAGGAGACUGGAAUUUACGGUGUAGCGGUGAAAUGCGUAGAUAUCGUAAGGAAGACCAGUGGCGAAGGCGGGUCUCUGGACAGUUCCUGACGCUGAGGCACGAAGGUCAGGGGAGCAAACGGG
Molecule: ribosomal RNA, 253 nt
Filed under: uncultured bacterium
Lineage: Bacteria
Description: partial 16S ribosomal RNA
Rfam family: Bacterial small subunit ribosomal RNA
Source: RNAcentral